UACGUAGGGGGCAAGCGUUGUCCGGAAUCAUUGGGCGUAAAGAGCGUGUAGGCGGCUCGAUAAGUCUGCUGUGAAAGUCCAGGGCUCAACCCUGGAGGGCCGGUGGAAACUGUCGGGCUAGAGUCCGGAAGAGGCGAGUGGAAUUCCCGGUGUAGCGGUGAAAUGCGUAGAUAUUGGGAGGAACACCGGUGGCGAAGGCGGCCCUCUGGACCGGUACUGACGCUGAAUGCGCGAAAGCGUGGGGAGCAAACGGG
This 254-nucleotide ribosomal RNA is filed under the name uncultured bacterium. Its description in RNAcentral is "partial 16S ribosomal RNA". It matches the Rfam family "Bacterial small subunit ribosomal RNA", at positions 524 to 776 of the family's 1533-position model. The record is from RNAcentral.